Molecule: long non-coding RNA, 871 nt
Organism: Vespa crabro (European hornet)
Lineage: Eukaryota; Metazoa; Arthropoda; Insecta; Hymenoptera; Vespidae
Exons: 3
Source: RefSeq, a predicted model, not a curated record
AGCUCAACCAACGCCAUGGUAGCCAACAUGGCGAAUCCAGCGGUGCUCAGUAUGAAAUUUUCGGAUCUAUACUCUUGUUUUUCUAACUGAUCAUAAAAAUAAAAUUUCAAAAUCUAAUAUAAACAACAAUUUCUUGGAAAAGUCAUAAAAACAGUUUAAGUUAUGAGCAAGUUAGUAUCGUGUGACGUCGACUGUUUACUCGAAGAAGAAAUAGCAGAAGAAGAAGAAGAAGAAGAAGAAAAAGAAAAAGAAGGAAAAGAAGGAGGAAGAGGAAUAAGAUCGUCCUCGGCGCUUAUGUUCAUUGAAUCGUGGAGAACGCGAUAUACGCAGGAGUAGAAUCCCCCUCUGUGGUGCACCGGGCCCUUCGCAAUGACGGUUUCCCCAUUAUCCGCUCGCCCACUCGCUCACCAUUGCACCGGCCGGAAUACUCGGACGAUGACUAUUCACGGCAGGGGAAACAUACUGGAUCAACGAUAUCUGCGGAAAAAAUAGACAAUUAUACCAAAUAUGGAAAUCAGAUCAUUCCAAAUUCUCGGAGGGAUUUCAACGUUCCGAGGAAUCAUCAUAAGAGAAUAAAAAAAAAAAAAGUAAGGAAUACCGGACAUUUGAUAUCGAACUUGGUUGGCAUGCAAAGACAUUACAUAUUCUCGAGGAAACUUCAGUUUUCUUCUCGUUCGACAACUUUAAUUCUACCUUUCCGCCAUCCUUUCGACAAGCGAGAAGAUGGAGAUUUUGAAAGAAAAGGUAAAGAUGUCGAAGGUAGUAAAUAGUAAGUAAGUAGGAGAAACGAUGCAAAGGGACACGGAGGAAAAAGGAAAAAUACAUAUAGAAAUGUAUAGAAGGAGAUGGAAAGACAGAUAGAUAACUCGAA